Small nuclear RNA from Molossus molossus (Pallas's mastiff bat), 163 nucleotides. RefSeq annotates it as U1 spliceosomal RNA. Lineage: Eukaryota; Metazoa; Chordata; Mammalia; Chiroptera; Molossidae. The record is from RefSeq and is a predicted model, not a curated record. The transcript has a single exon.
CCACUUGCCUGGCAGGGGAGAUGCCAUGAUCAUGAAGGUGGUUUUCCCGGGGCGAGGCUUAUCCCUUGCACUCCAGAUGUGUUGCCCCUGUAAUUUCCCCAAAUGUGGGAAACUCAACUGCAUAAUUUGCGGUAGUGGGGGACUGCGUUCGCGCUCUCCUGGG